GAUGAACGCUGGCGGCGUGCCUAACACAUGCAAGUCGAGCGAAGCGCUUUAAUUGGAUUCUUCGGAUGAAGAUUUUUGUGACUGAGCGGCGGACGGGUGAGUAACGCGUGGGCAACCUGCCUUACACAGGGGGAUAACAGUCAGAAAUGACUGCUAAUACCGCAUAAGACCGCAGGACCGCAUGGUCCGGUGGUAAAAACUCCGGUGGUGUAAGAUGGGCCCGCGUCUGAUUAGGUGGUUGGCGGGGUAACGGCCCACCAAGCCGACGAUCAGUAGCCGACCUGAGAGGGUGACCGGCCACAUUGGGACUGAGACACGGCCCAG
Molecule: ribosomal RNA, 324 nt
Filed under: uncultured bacterium
Lineage: Bacteria
Description: bacterial SSU rRNA
Rfam family: Bacterial small subunit ribosomal RNA
Source: RNAcentral